Molecule: long non-coding RNA, 226 nt
Organism: Sinocyclocheilus anshuiensis
Lineage: Eukaryota; Metazoa; Chordata; Actinopteri; Cypriniformes; Cyprinidae
Exons: 3
Source: RefSeq, a predicted model, not a curated record
CAGUCUGUGUGCAUUUAUUCUGUAACGGGGCUGACAAGACGUGAGGCAUGCAGAUCCAUGUGCAGGCUUUAUUAAGCAGAGAGGUCAGAAACACAGGCAGGGUCGAACAAGGGCAAACAGGAAUAUGGCGGGCAAGACACAAGAAUAAUCCUAGGGCUAGCGAAGGUCAACGAACGGCGAACAGAGUCAAAAGGGGCAAGACUAAAGGGGUAAAUCCAGGAAAACA